GUGGGGAAUCUUAGACAAUGGGGGCAACCCUGAUCUAGCCAUGCCGCGUGAGUGAUGAAGGCCUUAGGGUUGUAAAGCUCUUUCAGUGGGGAAGAUAAUGACGGUACCCACAGAAGAAGCCCCGGCUAACUCCGUGCCAGCAGCCGCGGUAAUACGGAGGGGGCUAGCGUUGUUCGGAAUUACUGGGCGUAAAGCGCACGUAGGCGGAUCGGAAAGUUGGGGGUGAAAUCCCAGGGCUCAACCCUGGAACUGCCUUCAAAACUAUCGGUCUGGAGUCCGAGAGAGGUGAGUGGAAUUCCGAGUGUAGAGGUGAAAUUCGUAGAUAUUCGGAGGAACACCAGUGGCGAAGGCGGCUCACUGGCUCGGUACUGACGCUGAGGUGCGAAAGCGUGGGGAGCAAACAGGAUUAGAAACCCCUGUAGUCC
Molecule: ribosomal RNA, 425 nt
Filed under: uncultured bacterium
Lineage: Bacteria
Description: partial 16S ribosomal RNA
Rfam family: Bacterial small subunit ribosomal RNA
Source: RNAcentral